This 492-nucleotide ribosomal RNA is filed under the name uncultured bacterium. RNAcentral describes it as "partial 16S ribosomal RNA". It matches the Rfam family "Bacterial small subunit ribosomal RNA", at positions 29 to 507 of the family's 1533-position model. The record is from RNAcentral.
AGUGAACGCUGGCGGUAGGCCUAACACAUGCAAGUCGAACGGCAGCACAGUAAGAGCUUGCUCUUACGGGUGGCGAGUGGCGGACGGGUGAGGAAUACAUCGGAAUCUACUUUUUCGUGGGGGAUAACGUAGGGAAACUUACGCUAAUACCGCAUACGACCUACGGGUGAAAGCAGGGGAUCUUCGGACCUUGCGCGAUUGAAUGAGCCGAUGUCGGAUUAGCUAGUUGGCGGGGUAAAGGCCCACCAAGGCGACGAUCCGUAGCUGGUCUGAGAGGAUGAUCAGCCACACUGGAACUGAGACCCGGUCCAGACUCCUACGGGAGGCAGCAGUGGGGAAUAUUGGACCAUGGGCGCAAGCCUGAUCCAGCCAUGCCGCGUGGGUGAAGAAGGCCUUCGGGUUGUAAAGCCCUUUUUUUGGGAAAGAAAAGCAGCAGGUUAAUACCCCGCUGUUCUGACGGUACCCAAAGAAUAAGCACCGGCUAACUUCGUG